CACUUCCCAAGACACUCGUUAGGAGUAGGCACAGCUGGCCAGCCUUCGCGAAUUAAGGCUCCACUGCCCUGCUGUGGCCCCUUUCGUACCCAGAAGCCUGGGUGGCACACCUGGAGCUUGUAUCCCUGCCCGCUGUCAGGCCUCGGACAAGUUAUAUGACCUCUGUAGACCUGUGGGCGCCCAGUUUCGUUUGCGAAAGAGGGUUCCCCUACCCUCAUGCCGUUUGAACUGGGGGUCUGGUUUGCCAUGAAUGGAGUGAAUGAACCAGGCGGCUACUCAGACUCCCAGCCACUCGUCCGGGAGAGCGCGUGCCCCUGUCCGCACCUAGAAGCUGAGCUCUGAGCUCCGUUGCAGCCUCAGAGAACAGGCCAGAGGAGGACGAAGUCAGAUGACUCUCAUUUGCCUACCGACCACUACAGGACCCCAGGAAGCCUGGGGCUGCUGCUAAGGGUCUUGCCACCCGAGGAGCGAGACACAAAGCAAUGAAGCCAACGGUUAGAAGGAACAAGAGCAAAUAUCACUGGGCCACCUGGAACCAGCUGCGCCUGAAGCUGCGAGAUCUAUCCUACAUUUUCUAGUGGUCUGAAUAACAACGUUUUCUCUUCUGCUCAA
This is a long non-coding RNA of Chinchilla lanigera (long-tailed chinchilla), 612 nucleotides long. RefSeq lists it as uncharacterized. Lineage: Eukaryota; Metazoa; Chordata; Mammalia; Rodentia; Chinchillidae. The transcript has 2 exons. The record is from RefSeq and is a predicted model, not a curated record.